Molecule: ribosomal RNA, 226 nt
Filed under: uncultured bacterium
Lineage: Bacteria
Description: partial 16S ribosomal RNA
Rfam family: Bacterial small subunit ribosomal RNA
Source: RNAcentral
UAAUACGUAGGGGGCAAGCGUUGUCCGGAUUUAUUGGGCGUAAAGAGCGUGUAGGCGGCCAGAUAGGUCCGUUGUGAAAACUCGAGGCUCAACCUCGAGACGCCGAUGGAAACCAUUUGGCUAGAGUCCGGAAGAGGAGAGUGGAAUUCCCGGUGUAGCGGUGAAAUGCGCAGAUAUCGGGAAGAACACCCGUGGCUAAGGCGGCUCUCUAGUACGGUACUGACGC